RNAcentral lists this long non-coding RNA (1029 nucleotides) under Ictidomys tridecemlineatus (thirteen-lined ground squirrel). RNAcentral's name for it is "lncRNA (ENSSTOG00000034533.1)". Lineage: Eukaryota; Metazoa; Chordata; Mammalia; Rodentia; Sciuridae. The record is from RNAcentral.
GGCCAGCAGGGGCUGGUGGGGACGACUGGAAUGCGGGAGCGGAGAGCGGGCAGGAAGGGGCUGCCAGGGCCGGGCGGCCAGGCACUUGGAUGACGAACUUGGCUGGGUCUUCGGAACACAGGGAAAGGAAGCCUCGAACAUUCCUUUGGGGGCCCCUCUGGCCCAGGGAGCAGCGGCUUGUGGUUUCUCAGUAUGUGGCAGUGAUUAGGGCUGGAUCUGUCCGGAAACAUCCAACUCCCUUAAUGAGCGUGUGGAAAGGGACCCACUGGGCUUCAGGAGCGGAGGCAGGGCCCCCGCAGCAUAUCCCAAGGCGCCAGGGCCGAGUCCCCGGUGGAAUGGUGCUGGUUCCAAUGCCAGCCUCCUGGAGACCUUCCUGCGCGGCCCCAGGGGGACCCUGAGGAGCCACAUGCACUGUCCCUGUCCCACCAGGUGCUGGAGGAGCUGGCGUCAUCCCUGGUGUCGGAGGUGGUGGUAUUCCUGGCGGGGCUGGUGCGAUUCCUGGGAUUGGAGGCAUUGCAGGUACUGUCAGGUCCAGCAGGGCUGCAGGUGGCCUUGAGCGACCACAGGCAAAGGACCUCACCCUCUGUGGCUGUCCUUCCAGGGGCCGGGACUCCUGCGGCUGCUGCUGCUGCUGCAAAAGCAGCUGCCAAGGCUGCAAAGUACGGAGCUGCUGGGGGCUUAGUGCCUGGUGGGCCAGGAGUUAGGGUCCCAGGUGUUGGGAUCCCAGGUGUCGGCGGAGUCCCAGGUGUUGGAGUCCCAGGUGUUGGAGUCCCAGGCAUUGGGGUCCCAGGUGUUGGGGUCCCAGGCGUUGGGGGUCCAGGCAUCGGGGGUGUACCAGGUAAGCUGGACUUGCUCCUUGUGUAUGCAUGUGCGUGUGUGUGAGAGAGAAAUAGACUAUUGCUGAGAUUCUGGGGUCCUCCCCAAGACCUCACUCAUCUGUCCACCCCCUCAGCUCUGCCUCACCCCUUCAUCCUCCCUCCCUCCCUCCCUCCACUAUAACAACCUCCCACCUAGCUGCCACCAGCACCA